UCUGAUAUGGCAGAUAAGUGCGAUGGGUUUAAGCUCCAUAUAUGAAGAUUUUUCUUUUAUUAGAA
This 65-nucleotide transfer RNA is filed under the name Neogeoscapheus hanni. RNAcentral describes it as "tRNA-Leu". Lineage: Eukaryota; Metazoa; Arthropoda; Insecta; Blattodea; Blaberidae. The record is from RNAcentral.